CGAGGAAUAUUGCACAAUGGAGGCAACUCUGAUGCAGUAACGCCGCGUGAGGGAAGAAGAUUUUCGGAUUGUAAACCUCUUUUUGUAGAGACGAGCGAGGACGGUAUCUAUAGAAUAAGUCUCGGCUAACUACGUGCCAGCAGCCGCGGUAAGACGUAGGAGGCGAGCGUUAUCCGGAUUCACUGGGCGUAAAGCGCAUGUAGGCGGUUGUGCAAGUCGUGUGUGAAAGUCCCCGGCUCAACUGGGGGAGGUCAUGCGAAACUGUGCGACUGGAGGGCAGGAGAGGAACGUGGAACUCCCGGUGUAGCGGUGGAAUGCGUAGAGAUCGGGAAGAACACCAGUGGCGAAAGCGACGUUCUGGUCUGCACCUGACGCUGAGAUGCGAAAGUGUGGGUAGCAAACGGG
Molecule: ribosomal RNA, 405 nt
Filed under: uncultured bacterium
Lineage: Bacteria
Description: bacterial SSU rRNA
Rfam family: Bacterial small subunit ribosomal RNA
Source: RNAcentral